RNAcentral lists this ribosomal RNA (253 nucleotides) under uncultured bacterium. RNAcentral's name for it is "partial 16S ribosomal RNA". It matches the Rfam family "Bacterial small subunit ribosomal RNA", at positions 524 to 776 of the family's 1533-position model. The record is from RNAcentral.
UACGUAGGGCGCAAGCGUUGUCCGGCAUUCUUGGGCGUAAAGAGCUCGUAGGCGGCUUGUCACGUCGGGUGUGAAAGCCCGGGGCUUAACCCCGGGUCUGCAUUCGAUACGGGCUAGCUAGAGUGUGGUAGGGGAGAUCGGAAUUCCUGGUGUAGCGGUGAAAUGCGCAGAUAUCAGGAGGAACACCGGUGGCGAAGGCGGAUCUCUGGGCCAUUACUGACGCUGAGGAGCGAAAGCCAGGGGAGCAAACGGG